UACGAAGGGGGCUAGCGUUGUUCGGAAUUACUGGGCGUAAAGCGCGCGCAGGCGGUCUUCCAAGUCAGUGGUGAAAGCCCGGAGCUCAACUCCGGAAUUGCCAUUGAAACUGUGAGACUGGAGUACGAGAGAGGUGAGUGGAAUUCCCAGUGUAGAGGUGAAAUUCGUAGAUAUUGGGAAGAACACCGGUGGCGAAGGCGGCUCACUGGCUCGUAACUGACGCUCAUGCACGACAGCGUGGGGAUCAAACAGG
Molecule: ribosomal RNA, 253 nt
Filed under: uncultured bacterium
Lineage: Bacteria
Description: partial 16S ribosomal RNA
Rfam family: Bacterial small subunit ribosomal RNA
Source: RNAcentral